UCCAAUAACAAAAUUUUACUUUUACAUCCAUCAAAACCUUUUUUAGGAACAAUCUCAACAUGAUAAAAAAUUUUGUUUUGAUGAUACGUUUAAAAUUUGUAUUAAAAAGUCUAGUUUAAUUGUGAUUAAAACUUGCAGCAAAACUAUUGCAGCUCUUACGCGAGCUACGCUGCGUUCAUAAAGUCUAUGUGAUACCCCUGUGAUUCUCUGAGUUCCCCCUGAGGGUCUGUACAGAACGUAUUGUGAAGAACUAGUUUGAGAAGCUGUUUACCGUCCGACUACGCAUGCGCAAGUUCCCUGCGUAGGAGCGAGCAGUUUCUACUUCAGUAUACAGUUGUAUUUCAUGUAAUGUUCGUCUAUUAUUAAACCGUGUGAAUAUUCUAGGACCACUGCGAUUGAAGGCUUAGAGAAAUAAACGUUCGGAACCUUAUUAUCAUCCUUGUGUUAUGGAGAGCGUUGAGAGAAGGAAGCCUUACAAUCCUAUCCAGAGAAAUACCACUCGGUA
This is a long non-coding RNA of Eurytemora carolleeae, 505 nucleotides long. RefSeq lists it as uncharacterized. The transcript is spliced from 2 exons. Lineage: Eukaryota; Metazoa; Arthropoda; Copepoda; Calanoida; Temoridae. The record is from RefSeq and is a predicted model, not a curated record.